This 390-nucleotide ribosomal RNA is filed under the name uncultured bacterium. RNAcentral describes it as "bacterial SSU rRNA". It matches the Rfam family "Bacterial small subunit ribosomal RNA", at positions 29 to 406 of the family's 1533-position model. The record is from RNAcentral.
AGCGAACGCUGGCGGCGUGCUUAACACAUGCAAGUCGAACGUGAAAUGUAGCAAUACAGAGUAAAGUGGCGUACGGGUGAGUAACACGUGGGUAAUCUACCAAAGUGUCUGGAAUAACCGAUCGAAAGGUUGGCUAAUACUGGAUAGUUCAAGCUUGUUAUAAUGGCAAGAUUGGGAAAGGGAGCUGGCAACAGCCUUCGCAUUUUGAUGAGCUCGCGUCUGAUUAGCUAGUUGGUAAGGUAAUGGCUUACCAAGGCUGAGAUCAGUAGCUGGUCUGAGAGGAUGAUCAGCCACACUGGAACUGAAACACGGUCCAGACUCCUACGGGAGGCAGCAGUGGGAAUCUUGCGCAAGUGGAACGAAAGUCUGACGCAGCCACGCCGCGUGAGU